This 396-nucleotide long non-coding RNA is filed under the name Ananas comosus (pineapple). Its description in RNAcentral is "long non-coding RNA (ACOM_LNC013441)". Lineage: Eukaryota; Viridiplantae; Streptophyta; Magnoliopsida; Poales; Bromeliaceae. The record is from RNAcentral.
CUGCUCGAACCGAGCCUCCUGGCGCUACAUCGCGCCCAACAUUGCAGCGACCUGCUCCCGCAGCUCCUGCACUUCCUCCGAUCUUGGCUGCUUGGGCUCCGCAGUAGGCGGUACCGGAGCAGACCUACGCGCAUAACGCCUUGGGGACAUUUGCUCCUGAAAAGCAACAACUCAGUUAGUUAUCUCAAUCUGAUAACUUCGCAACGUUCGCGAAAUUAAGCGACUCGACAACGAAAUCGGGCGGAAGCUCACAAGUGCUCCAGUUCUGGACUCUUAGCGUCGCGUCGUCGGCCGCCGACGCAACCACUACGAGCCGAGAAACUAGUAUCACUUGGAUCCGUCUCUAUUCACGGCCAGAGACAUGACAUUAACUUCGACCCAAUCGAUCAACUUCCG